RNAcentral lists this transfer RNA (81 nucleotides) under [Clostridium] symbiosum. RNAcentral's name for it is "tRNA-Arg(cct)". Lineage: Bacteria; Bacillati; Bacillota; Clostridia; Lachnospirales; Lachnospiraceae. The record is from RNAcentral.
AUCCCUGUUGAUAGGGAAUAUAUGCACUGGGUCCAUCUCCUAAGCGGAAGGCCAGCGGUUCGAAUCCGCUCAGGAACGCCA